This 492-nucleotide ribosomal RNA is filed under the name uncultured bacterium. RNAcentral describes it as "partial 16S ribosomal RNA". It matches the Rfam family "Bacterial small subunit ribosomal RNA", at positions 29 to 507 of the family's 1533-position model. The record is from RNAcentral.
AGUGAACGCUGGCGGUAGGCCUAACACAUGCAAGUCGAACGGCAGCACAGUAAGAGCUUGCUCUUACGGGUGGCGAGUGGCGGACGGGUGAGGAAUACAUCGGAAUCUACUUUUUCGUGGGGGAUAACGUAGGGAAACUUACGCUAAUACCGCGUACGACCUACGGGUGAAAGCAGGGGAUCUUCGGACCUUGCGCGAUUGAAUGAGCCGAUGUCGGAUUAGCUAGUUGGCGGGGUAAAGGCCCACCAAGUCGACGAUCCGUAGCUGGUCUGAGAGGAUGAUCAGCCACACUGGAACUGAGAGACGUUCCAGACUCCUACGGGAGGCAGCAGUGGGGAAUAUUGUACAAUGGUCGCAAGCCUGAUCCAGCCAUACCGCGUGGGUGAAGAAGGCCUUCGGGUUGUAAAGCCCUUUUGUUGGGAAAGAAAAGCAGCAGGUUAAUACCCCGCUGUUCUGACGUUACCCAAAGAAUAAGCACCGGCUAACUUCGUG